GGGCAGAUACCCAAGUGGCCAAAGGGGGCUGACUGUAAAUCAGCUGGCAGCGCCUUCGGAGGUUCGAAUCCUUCUCUGCCCA
This 82-nucleotide transfer RNA is filed under the name Chloroflexota bacterium. Its description in RNAcentral is "Chloroflexi bacterium (anaerobic digester metagenome) tRNA-Tyr". It matches the Rfam family "tRNA". Rfam says of the family: Transfer RNA (tRNA) molecules are approximately 80 nucleotides in length. Their secondary structure includes four short double-helical elements and three loops (D, anti-codon, and T loops). The record is from RNAcentral. RNAcentral also lists the same sequence under 1 other name. Lineage: Bacteria; Bacillati; Chloroflexota.